This 82-nucleotide microRNA precursor is filed under the name Loxodonta africana (African savanna elephant). RNAcentral describes it as "miRNA (ENSLAFG00000024904.1)". The record is from RNAcentral. Lineage: Eukaryota; Metazoa; Chordata; Mammalia; Proboscidea; Elephantidae.
CCUGUGCUCAGGGGGACCCUCAACUGAAUGCCACCCCUGCUAGACUGAGGCUCACUGAGGACAGGUCUACACUCACCUCCUG